This is a long non-coding RNA of Xenia sp. Carnegie-2017, 883 nucleotides long. RefSeq lists it as uncharacterized. The record is from RefSeq and is a predicted model, not a curated record. Lineage: Eukaryota; Metazoa; Cnidaria; Anthozoa; Malacalcyonacea; Xeniidae. The transcript has 2 exons.
AAUCAUUUCUCAACAAUAACUUGUAGACCUAUAUAUAUGUUCUAGUAACUAUCGUCAUAAUUAAGAGUGAACGAAUAAUUACAGAAGUACAACAACCAACAAGUGAAAACAUGUUUACAGCAACGAAAUUUGCAAAAACUAAUGAAAUGGCUAUCCACUCGAUUUCUCUUCAGGUAAAAAAAAUAACAAGAAAUGUUUGAACAAUGCCUUCGUGGAAGAAUUAAUCCAAUGCCAAUGAAAAGAUACUGUUUGGGUAAAAGUAUCCCAAUGCGUAAAGGAACUGUCCAAUAUUAGUUUUGUUUCCUUAAUUUUUGUAAUUUUUCCGGCUCUCCUUAUUUCGUUUGAAAAAUAUCGAGUAUCAUGUUCGCUAUGAACGUAAUCAUUCAAGUUAGACGGAAAUCCUACAAAUUACGUCAGCCGACGGUGUCUCGCGAAUAUAUUGACUUGGGGUAUCGGAUUAUGAAUAAUGACCACACAUGCAACAAAUGAGAGUCGGUGAAAGCCCGAUUUGAAAAAAAAAGCUUCGCAAGCAUAAAAAUGGCAGAGGCAAAAUCACCAGAGGACACAAAAGCACCGAAGCAACGUAUGUAUAACACACACUAUUUUUAUAGUUACACGUCUCUAUAAUAUUAGUAACAAAUCAGUACUUUUAGAAGAAGCUAUGUUACUUCUAAAACCUAAACAUUUAUAUAAUCAUCACAUCAAUUUCAUGAAAAAUUUUCUCAAGACUAGAUUGCGAAUGCUGUGAAAAUUGUUUAAUGUACAUAAAAUAGUUCUAGAAGAAAUUAUCAAGCAUAUAAUUGCUUUGUCAUUGUCUCAUUACUAUGCAUAUUUGUAACACUACAAGUAAAGCUAAUAAAACUGUCUUUCCAUUUAUGCGAAA